GACGAACGCUGGCGGCGUGCCUAAUACAUGCAAGUCGAGCGCAGGAAAUCGACGGAACCCUUCGGGGGGGAAGUCGACGGAAUGAGCGGCGGACGGGUGAGUAACACGUAAAGAACCUGCCCUCAGGUCUGGGAUAACCACGAGAAAUCGGGGCUAAUACCGGAUGGGUCAUCGGACCGCAUGGUCCGAGGAUGAAAGGCGCUUCGGCGUCGCCUGGGGAUGGCUUUGCGGUGCAUUAGCUAGCUGGUGGGGUAAUGGCCCACCAAGGCGACGAUGCAUAGCCGACCUGAGAGGGUGAUCGGCCACACUGGGACUGAGACACGGCCCAGACUCCUACGGGAGGCAGCAGUAGGGAAUCUUCCACAAUGGACGAAAGUCUGAUGGAGCAACGCCGCGUGAACGAUGAAGGCCUUCGGGUCGUAAAGUUCUGUUGUAAGGGAAGAACAAGUGCCGCAGGCAAUGGCGGCACCUUGACGGUAUCUUGCGAGAAAGCCACGGCUAACUACGUGCCAGCCGCCGCAGUAA
This 525-nucleotide ribosomal RNA is filed under the name uncultured bacterium. RNAcentral's name for it is "partial 16S ribosomal RNA". It matches the Rfam family "Bacterial small subunit ribosomal RNA", at positions 28 to 523 of the family's 1533-position model. The record is from RNAcentral.